AUGGCGAUCAGCAGCAGAGCAGCAGCCUGUGCCGCGCUCACCUUCCCGAGCACCGCCGCCGCCGCGCCACCCUCGAGCGUCUCCGUGAACCCGAGAGCUCAGCCAAGGAAGGCGAUGGCAGCCGUGGCGCGCGCGACCAGGGCUGGCGGCGCGGUGCUGGACCCGCCGGCCUUCGACCAGUCCCAGCUCGACACCCUUCCCCCAGCACAAGAAGGAGGAGACACGGGGAGGCUCAAGGACCGGAAGGGCACCGGCAGCGGCGACAGCUACAAGGUGCUGCUCCUAGACGACCCGCGCCACACCGAGAAGCACGUGGAGACGGCGUUGCCGCAGGUGGUGCCGUCCGUGACGGCCGAGGCGGCGCGGCAGCUCUUCCACGAGUCCCGGCAGAAAGGCGCCGCGAUGGUCAUCGUCGCCGUCAAGGAGCAUGCCGAGUUCUACGCGCAGAUGAUGGUUCGCCACGGGCUCCGAUCUGCCAUCGAGCCCGAAUCCGACAUGGCAGCUUAA
This 507-nucleotide ribosomal RNA is filed under the name Triticum aestivum (bread wheat). Its description in RNAcentral is "partial small subunit ribosomal RNA". Lineage: Eukaryota; Viridiplantae; Streptophyta; Magnoliopsida; Poales; Poaceae. The record is from RNAcentral.